RNAcentral lists this long non-coding RNA (998 nucleotides) under Brassica napus (rape). Its description in RNAcentral is "long non-coding RNA (BNAP_LNC020389)". The record is from RNAcentral. Lineage: Eukaryota; Viridiplantae; Streptophyta; Magnoliopsida; Brassicales; Brassicaceae.
AUCAAUUAAGUUGUUUAUAUUAUAAGAGAGUCUUUUCUCUCUCUUUGCUCUACCAUCUCUCUAGAAACCUCUUAGAUCUGAAAAUCGUUUUCGGUGACCGGUGGUUUUAUCGCCGCCGGUUACCAAUCUCUUUUUGUUUUUUGAUGUAAAAUACUUACUCGAUCUAUAGAUCGAUUUGUUUGCUUCGCUUUGGCGAAUUUUCACUUCGCGUUGGCGAUUUCUCUUUUCGCGUUUGGCGAGCUUUUGAGGUGUUAAUCCCAAUCAAAUCGGAACUGAUUAUCACUCUUAUGUUUCUUUCCGAUAUUUAUUGAGUAUAUAUAAAGAUCCCCCCUUUCACAACUAAUAUUAAUCCCGUUUGCUUUUGAGCUGGGUUCUCUCCUUCUGUGGUUUGCUCAGAUCCCUUUUCUACGGGUGUAAAGCUCACUCUUUUAAAGCUAUUUCUUAGCAUAUGAGUGACGUAUCACGUAUGAAAGGAAUGAUGGAGAUGUUGGUUUAUCUUGAUCGUUGUAUGAGGGAUUUAGUAGAGUUGGCAUCUUUCUUGACUGAAGAUGGUCCAAUAAAAAAUCUACUCUAAUUCGAUUAAGUUUUCCAUGUGGUCAAAUAACCAGAGAUUGUUGGGGUCUCAACUUGGAGCAACGGUUAUGGUGGAAGGGUAAGCUUAGAAAGUACAAUCCAUGGCAACAAUCGACGUGUUUGAACAAGAGAAAGAAAGCUCCGCCGGUGAGAAGACGGUUGGACGUCAUCGGAAACAUGAAGUAUGCCGGAGAAGCUGGAAUUUUCAAGAUGGAAGUCUCUUUGUUGACACGUGUUCUUGUUGUAAUAUAGUGUUUACACGUACCCUCUCUAUAAUGUGCGUGUUGCCUUAAUAUUGUACUCAUCUAAACUUAUGGGAAUUAAUAAAAUCUAAGGUUGACAAAAAAAAAAGAGUUGUUUAUAUUAUUCGGAAAACCAGUGCAAAUAACGCGUUUUUUUUGUUUUGAAAUAAUAUUCGAAUAAGA